GAAGCGCUUUCUUUUGAUUCUUCGGAUGAAGAAGACUGUGACUGAGUGGCGGACGGGUGAGUAACGCGUGGGCAACCUGCCCUGUACAGGGGGAUAACAGUUAGAAAUGACUGCUAAUACCGCAUAAGCGCACGAGGACGCAUGUUCUUGUGUGAAAAACUCCGGUGGUACAGGAUGGGCCCGCGUCUGAUUAGGUAGUUGGUGGGGCAGCGGCCUACCAAGCCGACGAUCAGUAGCCGACCUGAGAGGGUGACCGGCCACAUUGGGACUGAGACACGGCCCAAACUCCUACGGGAGGCAGCAGUGGGGAAUAUUGCACAAUGGGGGAAACCCUGAUGCAGCGACGCCGCGUGAAGGAAGAAGUAUUUCGGUAUGUAAACUUCCAUCAGCAGGGAAGAAACUGACGGUACCUGACUAAGAAGCACCGGCUAAAUACGUGCCAGCAGCCGCGGUAAUACGUAUGGUGCAAGCGUUAUCCGGAUUUACUGGGUGUAAAGGGAGCGUAGACGGAGAGGCAAGUCUGAAGUGAAAGCCCGGGGCUCAACCCCGGGACUGCUUUGGAAACUGCAGUUCUAGAGUGCCGGAGAGGUAAGCGGAAUUCCUAGUGUAGCGGUGAAAUGCGUAGAUAUUAGGAGGACACCAGUGGCGAA
This 650-nucleotide ribosomal RNA is filed under the name uncultured Lachnospiraceae bacterium. RNAcentral's name for it is "bacterial SSU rRNA". It matches the Rfam family "Bacterial small subunit ribosomal RNA", at positions 68 to 719 of the family's 1533-position model. Lineage: Bacteria; Bacillati; Bacillota; Clostridia; Lachnospirales; Lachnospiraceae. The record is from RNAcentral.